UCGGGAAUUUUGGGCAAUGGGCGAAAGCCUGACCCAGCAACGCCGCGUGAGGGAUGAAGUAUUUCGGUAUGUAAACCUCGAAAGAAUGGGAAGAAUAAAUGACGGUACCAGAGGAAUAAGCACCGGCUAACUCCGUGCCAGCAGCCGCGGUAAUACGGAGGGUGCGAGCGUUAUCCGGAUUUACUGGGUUUAAAGGGUGCGUAGGUGGGCUUAUAAGUCAGUGGUGAAAUCUCCGAGCUUAACUUGGAAACUGCCGUUGAUACUAUAGGUCUUGAAUUAUCUGGAGGUAAGCGGAAUAUGUCAUGUAGCGGUGAAAUGCUUAGAUAUGACAUAGAACACCAAUUGCGAAGGCAGCUUACUACACAAUCAUUGACACUGAGGCACGAAAGCGUGGGUAGCGAACA
RNAcentral lists this ribosomal RNA (404 nucleotides) under uncultured bacterium. RNAcentral describes it as "bacterial SSU rRNA". It matches the Rfam family "Bacterial small subunit ribosomal RNA", at positions 355 to 774 of the family's 1533-position model. The record is from RNAcentral.